This 107-nucleotide small nuclear RNA is filed under the name Vicugna pacos (alpaca). Lineage: Eukaryota; Metazoa; Chordata; Mammalia; Artiodactyla; Camelidae. The record is from RNAcentral.
GUGCUCACUUCGGCAGUACAUAUACUAAAAUUGGAACAAUACAUUGAAGAUUAGCAUGGCCCCUGCGCAAGGAUGACGCACAAAUUCAUGAAGCAUUCCGUAUUUUU